GUGGGGAAUUUUGGACAAUGGGCGCAAGCCUGAUCCAGCAAUGCCGCGUGCAGGAAGAAGGCCUUCGGGUUGUAAACUGCUUUUGUACGGAACGAAACGGUCCGGGUUAAUACCCUGGGCUAAUGACGGUACCGUAAGAAUAAGCACCGGCUAACUACGUGCCAGCAGCCGCGGUAAUACGUAGGGUGCAAGCGUUAAUCGGAAUUACUGGGCGUAAAGCGUGCGCAAGCGGUUUUGUAAGACAGGCGUGAAAUCCCCGGGCUCAACCUGGGAAUUGCGCUUGUGACUGCAAGGCUGGAGUGCGGCAGAGGGGGAUGGAAUUCCGCGUGUAGCAGUGAAAUGCGUAGAUAUGCGGAGGAACACCGAUGGCGAAGGCAAUCCCCUGGGCCUGCACUGACGCUCAUGCACGAAAGCGUGGGGAGCAAACAGGAUUAGAAACCCUUGUAGUCC
Molecule: ribosomal RNA, 450 nt
Filed under: uncultured bacterium
Lineage: Bacteria
Description: partial 16S ribosomal RNA
Rfam family: Bacterial small subunit ribosomal RNA
Source: RNAcentral